This is a non-coding RNA of Leptonychotes weddellii (Weddell seal), 1858 nucleotides long. The record is from RefSeq and is a predicted model, not a curated record. NCBI's taxonomy places the organism in Eukaryota, Metazoa, Chordata, Mammalia, Carnivora, Phocidae.
UUGAACACUUAGGGGAAGGCUAGCCCUACUGGUUAUGGAGAAGCUCUUAUGCGCUUGUUGAUACUACAGAGAAGCCUGUUUUCUCUCAGAGCAGCCUCUAACACUUGCUCCCUAUUUCUCGCCACCUCCUAAAAGGCAGCCGCCAUAAAACUUGUUAAUACAUUAUUCUACAUUUUCUUUUGCCUAACUCAGCCCACCUAUCUCCCAACUGAACACUAAUCCCAAAUAUAUAUUCAAAACAAAAGCAAAAAAUCUUACACAUGAAACUUCCCAUCCUGGGCAGUGACCUCAUACUUGGGUUUCUUUCUCAGUAUGUGAGUUCACCUCAGCUUCUGGUUUGCCAUAUAAUGGCUCAUUGUUCCUCUGUGUGGAUCUUUCAGGUAAACAGGGCUUCUUUAGAAGGAACAGAUAUUCCCUCACAUAAUAAAUAAGAAGGGCCUUUUGCUGGCCUAACAGUCUGCCUUUGAUCCUAAAGCAAAUGGUACUUGGUUAAUUACUGUGUUUGCCUUGCGCUCCUGGCAGAGUCCUGAGGGCUGGGAAGGGUCUCUCCUGUGGAGCUGUUCUUUCCAUUCAUCAGCCGUCGGGGCGGGCAGCGUAUGACCGUCCUUCACUGGGUGACAUCUGGGCUUUAGAGUUUAGAAUCUUACUGGGUUGGAAAGAGUAGCAACUGGGUUGCUAGGGUGUAUGUGAUUGUGUAAUUUGGCAGAGCAAAGGGCACGUGAAUUACCACUUGUAUUUUCAGGCAAACAUUGGGGUGCCCACGUUGCCAACUAGACUGAGGCCUGAGGUGAUGGGUAGAGAUUUCUUAGAGCUGGACAUCGUGACCUUGUACCUCACUGGCCUGGUUGCAGUGGGCUGUGUUACUUCACACCUGAGGAAUUGUCACUCCUAUGAAACACAUACCUUUUUCUGUGUCUGUAGGUAGACGAAGUGCACCACCCUUGAACCUCACUGGCCUCCCUGGCACAGAGAAGCUGAAUGAAAAAGAAAAGGAGCUCUGUCAGAUGGUGAGGUUGGUCCCAGGAGCCUAUUUAGAAUACAAAUCUGCUCUAUUGAACGAAUGUAACAAGCAAGGAGGCUUGAGACUGGCGCAGGCAAGAGCACUCAUCAAGAUAGAUGUGAACAAAACCCGGAAAAUCUAUGAUUUCCUCAUCCGAGAAGGAUACAUCACUAAAGCCUGAGGCUCUGAGGGCUUCGGAUCAGAAAUCACAAAUUUGGAAUGUGGUAGGCCAAAGGACAGCACAGGCAUUCUGGAGAGUUUCAUUGCUGAGCUGAGUUCUCAUUGUAAAAAGAGGGGAAGGACAAAGGGAACCUUACGUUGUAUUAAUACCUACUUUUCUUUUCCACCCUGCUUUAAAACACUCCUGUUGUUGGUGUUGUGCUGCAAAGUUAUGUGCUAGAUAAGCUAUUAUUAAAUGUGAGUGGGCCUCUAUUCCCAACACCUCUUGUAACUAAAACAAGAACCAUAGUACCUCACAUCAGAAUGUCGGUAGAAAUAGAACUGAAGCAGUCUGUAGUCCCGGGAGUCCAGAUCUUUGUACUUGGGAAGUUGGUUUUCUGAUUAUCUGUUUUGCCUUCAAACAUUACAGAAAGAUCUAAAAUAAAGAGAAAGGUUAUAGAGCAUGAGAAAGCUUUCUCUUUCCUUCUGAGGAUUUUUUUAAGCUGAUGACUUACGUUUAUGAGCAAAUGGGAGGAAAAAUCUCCCCGUGAUGGUCUUGUCCCAAACUACAUCUUCCCCUUUUAAUGUCUGGCUUUCUACUUGACUGUCUAAUCUGCAGUAGACUCUUGAGGAGGUGGCACCGGAUAUAAAAUGUCUGUUAUUUUUAGAAUUAAUGGAUUAAAAUGUUUUGCUACCUAA